AUUCAGCUAGUUGAGCUUUACCUUUUCAGGAACCAGAUGAAGAGACAUAAAGAAGAGUUAUACUGAGUUUGGUUUAUAUGCUGUUGUGUUAAAUAGAUUAUUUUCUUCCCUCGUCUUUGUUAUUACAAGUUUGUAAGAGGGAUAGAAGUUGUAUGUUCUAUAUGUAUAUUAUAUUAUGAGAUAUUAUGUAAGGAGUCUUGUAUAUGAAUCUAUGCC
Non-coding RNA from Arachis ipaensis, 216 nucleotides. The record is from RefSeq and is a predicted model, not a curated record. NCBI's taxonomy places the organism in Eukaryota, Viridiplantae, Streptophyta, Magnoliopsida, Fabales, Fabaceae.